CAAAUACAAACCCUUUCUCCUUUUCUUUUUCCUUUUCUUCUGAGUUUCCACUCCUUCUUUUCCUUAUCCAUUUCAGAGCUGGUUUUUUCUGUAGAGCACUCAAAUCUCCUGUCUUCUUCUCAAUCGUCUAUGGGUGGCGUGUCUUGUUAAACACUAUUGAUUCAAAUAGUGGUAUUAGUGUUUUGCAAUCAUUCGGGGUUGGCAAAGGCAUAUUCAAUCUAUCAUUUGGUAAUGCGGGUAAAACGUUGGAGCAGAGUUGUAGUCCGCCACUCAACAUACCAAGUACUCGUAUAAAUGCCUCUUCUACUUUAGGUCAAUUUCGUUAUCUACAUAAAACAUCAAGCACACCUCCAACAAGCAUUCUCAGGCCUUUUCACCAGUCUUGCGGCAAUCGGGAAUUUCUUCUUCAAGGAAGUUUCUUUCAGAAUCGUCCUCCGACCAGACACCUGUAGCAAAUCCACCGUCAUGACCUGUUCCGCAAAUAGGCAGUGGAACAACUGAAACCCAAGCGGUGGUCCCUAAACGUGCCAGCCUUCAGGCAGUGUUGAAGGAUAUAAACAGGUUAUACACUCAGCAGUCAGCACGUGCCAAUGCAACCCAUAAUCAUGGGUGGGAUAAAGAUCGUCUCCUAGUUGGUAAGUGCAAGAACUGCUGAUGUUGUAAGAGCGCAAAACCAGCUGUGCUAAUUAUACUUGCCGGUAUUUGUGCGACAGCCGAGGCGUUUGUAGGGAAAGGGUUAUUCAAAAAGAGAGUUUCAUAUCACGCGAAGGGAAGAUCUGGAAUGGAAGUGCGAGCAGAGUGUAGGUUAACUGUCGUCGUCAGGGAGAUGACAGGAAUGGCACCGGGCAUGCUGUUCAUAUCGAGUACAAUGUUCCUGGAGAAACGGUGGAGAAUACAGCCCUGAAAUCUGGCAGAACGCGCUCCUCCUUUUGACUCCAGGGGGUUAGUUUGGAGGCUAUGAUAGCCAGACAAAGAAUACACAAUUUCCACAAGCUCUCGAAGAGGGAGAGGCGAUUGGUUCCACAUAAGCUUAUCGAGACUACUGACUACCCCUUUAUGGGGCCGCAAAAGCAAGCCUAGCAACUCAGAGAAGUGUUCCAUGGCUUGAAGUAGAGUUUUGGAGAAACAAUCUUGUUGCAGAACCAACCACCUUGGUCCAAAAUUCGAUGCUAGAGGUGGACAUUUUUGCUUCGGUUUAUGAUAAGAUGUUUCUGUACCUGGGAUUUAAAUUUGCUAAACAAACUAAGUUGAAGCAAAGGUGGACAUCUAAUUGCUUCACAAAAUUAAGAUCAAUAAGUUUUGUAUUUUUGGGGCCAUUAAUUUUUCUUGUGUUCCUUCUGGAC
Papaver somniferum (opium poppy) is the source of this 1343-nucleotide long non-coding RNA. RefSeq lists it as uncharacterized. The record is from RefSeq and is a predicted model, not a curated record. The transcript is spliced from 5 exons. NCBI's taxonomy places the organism in Eukaryota, Viridiplantae, Streptophyta, Magnoliopsida, Ranunculales, Papaveraceae.